UGUAUCUAGAAUUAAUGCAAAAGAAAAUAAUAACAAUAAUGUGUAUAAUCGGCUGUCGCAAACAUUUUAGUGGAAUUUCGGGAAGAGAACAUGAAUGAAAAAUUACAAGUAAUUUUGACUUGUGAUUUUAUCUCAACAGCCAUGCUUUAUCUUCCGUACGAUCGCGCGUCGCAGUCGAAGACAGCGCGACUGUCGCUAUUGUUGCGUUGUACAGCGUACCGCAACGUACGAUCAUAGAUACAUCUCGAUACAGGAAAAAGUCACUUCAUUCAGCGGUAUACUAAACGUGAACACUACAGCGUACAUAGACAUGCGUGAAAUUACGAAUCACGGAUAUAUUGAGAUUGAGUGGAACAGAAGCUCGCGAGAGCACUUUUACAACCUUCCACGCGAGAGCAUAGUACUUUUGCCCAAAGAAUGAAAAGAAGUGGAAACGGAGGAGAGGAGGGGAAGAACGAAUGGAGAUGGAGUCCCUAGAAGACGCAUCCCUUGGAUCUCGUGACGAUAGUUUCCCCGAUAGUUACCUAUCCUAAAACGCGAAAUUAUGUUGCAUACCUCUCGGUUUCGCACAUUUUUGGUCGUUUUCUCUGUCACACGAGUUUCUUUUUUUUUUUGCAUUUUUCUCUUUUCUUUAUCCGCAAAAUUUCCGAACACGUACACACAUUCCCGGAUUAUCUCUUACGUAUAUAUGUAGAGUUCCCCUUAAAUAUAUAUUAUAGAUAUACCUUACUGACUAACGCGAAAAAAGAAGGACAAACGCCAACUAUACUCGUUAGAAUGAACGUCUGUCUUAUCGGACAAGACACGAGAAUAUCACAUUGCAGAUGUAUAUGUAUGUGUAGGUGUAUGUAUGUGGGUAUGUAUUAAUUCCUCUUCUUUCUUUUUAUUCCCUCAAUAAUAACAUCGCUUAAAAGAUAAGGAGUUCUUAUAUCAAGUUUUACACCUUGCGACAAUAGGCGCGCGUGCAAUGUGUGCGUAUAUAUACAUGCGAAUACGGCGAAUGCGGUGAAUACCGAUCUUUGUCUUUUCCUUCGUUCUUUUUCUACUUUUUCCCAUUUUGUCUUUUCGAUCGAUGUCGCGAUCGAUUUCCUCGCCGAAUUUUAGUAUAUCGAUAACUAAAAACAAAAUGUGGCCCGAAGAUCAUUGCAGCUUGCAGAGGAAUCCAAUGUUAGAUUUUAUUUUUAAGUUGACGCUCCGUGUCACACGCUUUAAAUACAUAUUAUUAAGCUAAUAAUACAUGCAUUCGAGUGAGAAAUAAGUAAUAUUUCGUAAAGGGCUUCGCAGUGGGUCUU
This is a long non-coding RNA of Atta colombica, 1292 nucleotides long. RefSeq lists it as uncharacterized. The record is from RefSeq and is a predicted model, not a curated record. The transcript has 2 exons. NCBI's taxonomy places the organism in Eukaryota, Metazoa, Arthropoda, Insecta, Hymenoptera, Formicidae.